RNAcentral lists this ribosomal RNA (503 nucleotides) under uncultured bacterium. RNAcentral's name for it is "partial 16S ribosomal RNA". It matches the Rfam family "Bacterial small subunit ribosomal RNA", at positions 30 to 523 of the family's 1533-position model. The record is from RNAcentral.
AUUGAACGCUGACGGCAGGCUUAACACAUGCAAGUCGAGCGGGGUGAUGGUGCUUGCACUAUCACUUAGCGGCGGACGGGUGAGUAAUGCUUAGGAAUCUGCCUAUUAGUGGGGGACAACAUCUCGAAAGGGAUGCUAAUACCGCAUACGUCCUACGGGAGAAAGCAGGGGAUCACUUGUGACCUUGCGCUAAUAGAUGAGCCUAAGUCGGAUUAGCUAGUUGGUGGGGUAAAGGCCUACCAAGGCGACGAUCUGUAGCGGGUCUGAGAGGAUGAUCCGCCACACUGGGACUGAGACAAGGCCCAGACUCCUACGGGAGGCAGCAGUGGGGAAUAUUGGACAAUGGGGGGAACCCUGAUCCAGCCAUGCCGCGUGUGUGAAGAUGGCCUUAUGGUUGUAAAGCACUUUAAGCGAGGAGGAGGCUCUUUUGGUUAAUACCCAAGAUGAGUGGACGUUACUCGCAGAAUAAGCACCGGCUAACUCUGUGCCAGCCGCCGCAGUAA